Triticum aestivum (bread wheat) is the source of this 125-nucleotide non-coding RNA. The record is from Rfam. Lineage: Eukaryota; Viridiplantae; Streptophyta; Magnoliopsida; Poales; Poaceae.
CAGAUACUCCCUCCCUCCGAAAAUACUUGUCGGAGAAAUGAGUGUAUCUAGAUGUAUUUUAAUUCUAGAUACAUUCAUUUUCAUCAAUUUAUGCGACAAUUAAUUCCGGACGAAGGGAGUACAUG